GCUUAGCAAACCUACGGGCUACAUUCUGUGUCCCGUGACUAAAGGGAGACACCUCCAAACAAUCGCUUCUGCCCAGGUUCAAAAGCCAGCACCCCAAGACUGGGUUAUGCGCCUGAGAGGGGGGCAGCGUACCCCCACUCCCCAGGAGAGGCGCCUUGGCAAGAGGCAAUGGGUCUAGUGCGCUGGAGGGCUCAGCUGAGUCCGCCCCACUUUUCACACCAGCCAGUGAUCCUGAAUCAGGUGCAGAUGGGAGGGUGGGGAGAGAAGGUGGAAAUCGUCCCGGGUGGUGGGGGUGAAGGUCUCCCCCAGUAGAAGCUGCGUUGGGAGAAGGGCCGGUGUUCUCCACACCAUGACUUUGGGGGUGAGUGUCUCUCAAUGCUUUAGCCUUACGCGCUGCCAGGGGGCUGUGAGCCAGCAUGACUCUCCCCCCCUGCACAGGCAGACAGAGCACCCGCAGGUGCCCUGGUCCCAGCGAGGUUCUCAGGCUCAGGCUUCUCAGACAAAGUCCCAAGUUCAAGUCCGCGCUGACGGGCUUUGCCAUGGGAUUCUCAGCUCCUUUCCAUCCCCGCCUUUUGUUCGCCUCUGACAAUUGCUCUUUAUUCCCCCCCUCCACACACCCCCGCCCUUCUGUACUUGGCACCGUUUAGCAGACUGACUGCAAACUUAACAACCCUGGUUCUUGGUAUAAGCACUCAAAUUACCCUUCUUUCUACAUAUAUACAUUUCCCCGGGAGUGCGCAUCUCCCUGCUGCAAGGGCUCGGGGGUGCCAGUCCCGUCCCCUAGUGCACGACACAGGGUCCCUUCACGCGGGAACUCAGGGGCUUGCUCUCAAAGUUAAGCUUCCAAAGCACCUAGAGACAACUUGCUGCUGAAGUCUGUAAGACACUGGGCUAGCAGAAGGAGAGACUAAGCAUGAAAAGAUUCAGCAGCGCUUCUUUCUGGGGCUUCCCCAAGCCAAGGCAGACCCGGGACUGCGCUCAGCAUUAUUCUCUCCAGUUUCUAAGGAGCCACAUGCCAGAGGGACAAGACCUGCAAUGUGUAGGGGAACCCUGGAAUAGGGAACCAGUCCAAUAUUGGAUACUACCUAAAGAAAGACACCCAGUGGCACCUGCCAUAGGUGCUGCUGAUGGGUCAAGCACCACACUAAGCACAGUGCUGACCUUCAGAGGUGCCGGGCACAGCAUGUAGAAGAGUGGACACUUUUAGAGAGAAGACCACUACCCAAGUGCAUGGGGCGGAAGAGGGAGCAGCCAACAGAAGCUGUUGCAAAUGCAGCCAUCUAAGAGAGAAGGCAAACCUAGCAGCCAGACUGUGAGGAUGCAGGACAAGCAUGUAGCGUGGGGAGCCUGCACUGAGAAGCCCUGUAGCACACCCCUCACCUUAGCCAGGGAAAGAGAAUUAGUUACAUGAAAGUGGGGGACACACUAGGCAGAAGUGUUAGAGUCUGGUGUGCAGUCACAUGUCUGAGGCACUGUGAUGCUGGCAAACCAGGUGCCAGCCUAUACCGAGGUCCCCGUGCCUCACUUGGAUACUGACAAACACAGAGCUGGAAUCAGCCUGGUUCACUGUUAAAACGGGGAUUAGAAUGAUAAAAAAUGUGCUUAGGGUACAGAUUCAUGGAAUGCUUGUAAAUUGCUGCUUGCAUUAAUCUCACCUAUAACAUCUGUAUACAGGUAAUAUGUGAGUGUUUGCACUGCAAGCCUCUGUAACUGUGUAAAUCACCAGCCAGGAGCGAAGCAUUAUCUAGUAUAAAAUACGAGUCUCCAACAGGUGUUAUGUCUGACUCCUGCCUGACAAAGAAGGCCCAUCAACACGAGAAGAACUAUUGUGGAACAUCAGAGGACAAAAGAGUUUGUUGCUUGCUUUCCCCCACACCUCAGGAAGAGGAAAGGUGCAAGUGAAUUCCUCCCAUUAGCUGAGUUUGCAACUUGAAGCAGAAGGGGGGAAGGAAUAAAAACCCUUCACAAGGAGGAACUGUAAUUUUA
RNAcentral lists this long non-coding RNA (1986 nucleotides) under Chrysemys picta bellii (western painted turtle). RNAcentral describes it as "lncRNA (ENSCPBG00000017646.1)". The record is from RNAcentral. Lineage: Eukaryota; Metazoa; Chordata; Testudines; Emydidae.